This 1371-nucleotide long non-coding RNA is filed under the name Homo sapiens (human). RNAcentral describes it as "non-protein coding lnc-CLASP2-1:15". Lineage: Eukaryota; Metazoa; Chordata; Mammalia; Primates; Hominidae. The record is from RNAcentral.
GUCGCGGCGGCUACGCCCACCUGGACCCAGUUUACCCUGUACUGUGCUGCAAAAUAUUACUUUCUCCCCAUCUGGAAUUCUUCCCUUCCUCCUUCCUGCCGCAGUGGUGUACUGAGCACUUUCACGUAAGAGUAUUCCUCCACUCGAACAACCCCCCGGAGAAGUACUGGUGUCACUGCCACCUGCGAGAGUUUGCGGCUACCUCCCCAAGAGGCAGUCCCAGGGUUAUUGUGACCUAUGAUGUUUAUUCAACUACUGUUGACGGGCUGCUGUGCACAGGGAACCUAGUAGGCAAGACCCCUGCCAUCGUGCAGCUUACUGUCAGGUUGACACAGACCUUAAGGUAAACGGAAAAAGUAUCAGGAAAAAAACAGGGUGCUUGGGACUUAGGAGAUGUUAAGAUCGCUUGGAGGACCCUAAUUUAAAUAAGAUAAAGUAGGUUUUCUCCGAGUAGGUUAACUGAAAAUGAACCUGUGUCUCUGGUUGCUGUUUUGUAGAAAGAACAAAAUUUUAAAUAAAUUAAAAACGACACCUGUAAUUUGAGAAGAUGCUUGAUAUCAGAAGAGGAGAAGAGUGGAGAGGGGUGGAGUGGCAAAGGAGAGCCUCCAAACCAAAAGCCUGCGGCAGAGGCCCUAGGAGGCAAGCACUUAACCAUGUUUCAGGACUAGAAACGAAACAUGUGACAAGACCUUUAAAAACAAAUAGAAUGGGAUGGAAUAAAGUUGGAUGAGUAAGCAGGCAUCAAAUCAUUCAGAAACUUGUUGUCCAAGUUGAAGAAUUUGUUUAGUAUUGUAUAAUAAAUGCAGAGGAAGCUAUAUACACUUAUAAUUUACAUUUUUUAAAGGCCACGUUGUAGCUCAAUCGGAUAGUUUGUCUUUUGAUGGGAUGUAGUAUACAGUAUCAUCAUGGUAUAUUCCAGGCAAAAAUAUUUAACUUGAAUCUGUCAAGCCUUUGCAUCUAACACAGUUUAUAAAAAAUACAACAGAUAGAUGAACAAACUAAAUGAUGCCAGAGGAAGUAACUAGACAGAUCCAGAAGGUGAAACAUUCUGCAGGAUAACUGGCCCAUCUCUUCAACAAUUUGUCAUGAUAAAAGCAACUGCUUUAUGAAAAGAAAUUUAAGGGACAUAACAGUUUGAAUUGGAUCCUGGUUUGAACAGACUGUCUAUAAAAUGCAUUUUCAGGACCAUUAAAGAAAUAUGAAUGUAGAUGGACUGAGUAUUGGAUAAAAUAGAACUGUAUUGCCAUGGAAAAGAUCAUUAACUGAAAAGAGCAAGUCACGAAAUAGUAUGUUACAGCAUCUCAUUUUGGUUUAAAAAUGCACAUAUAUGUAUUUAUGUACAACUAAAAAAAUAGUGGGCUUAUACCCUAA